UGUGGGGGUACGGCCUACNNGNCGACGACGGGUAGCCGGCUCUGAAAGGCGACCGGCCACACUGGGACUGAGACACGGCCCAGACUCCUACGGGAGGCAGCAGUGGGGAAUAUUGCGCAAUGGGCGGAAGCCUGACGCAGCGACGCCGCGUGGGGGAUGAAGGCCUUCGGGUUGUAAACCCCUUUCAGCAGGGACGAAGCGGAAGUGACGGUACCUGCAGAAGAAGCGCCGGCUAACUACGUGCCAGCAGCCGCGGUAACACGUAGGGCGCAAGCGUUGUCCGGAAUUAUUGGGCGUAAAGAGCUCGUAGGUGGUCUGUUGCGUCCGCUGUGAAAUCUCAGGGCUUAACCCUGAGCCUGCAGUGGAUACGGGCAGACUAGAGGUAGGUAGGGGAGAAUGGAAUUCCUGGUGUAGCGGUGAAAUGCGCAGAUAUCAGGAGGAACACCGGUGGCGAAGGCGGUUCUCUGGGCCUUACCUGANACUGANGAGCGAAAGCGUGGGGAGCGAACAGGAUUAGAUACCCUGGUAGUCCACGCCGUAAACGUUGNGCGCUAGGUGUGGGAUCCUUCCACGGAUUCCNUGCCGCANNUNACGCAUUAAGCGCCC
RNAcentral lists this ribosomal RNA (606 nucleotides) under uncultured Actinomycetes bacterium. RNAcentral describes it as "bacterial SSU rRNA". It matches the Rfam family "Bacterial small subunit ribosomal RNA", at positions 251 to 869 of the family's 1533-position model. Lineage: Bacteria; Bacillati; Actinomycetota; Actinomycetes. The record is from RNAcentral.